UUGAUUUGAAUACAACGAGUUUUAUAUGAAAAAAUUGAAUUUAAACCCGAAUGUAUGAUGUGGGUGACAACCUCAAUCCAAAACCAAACUGGACAGAAUACAUAGAUUUAAAUCAAAUUUUCAAUUUUCUGGAUUUCUUUGUUCAACCUGGCAUGAUACCUCAUAAUUGUUUUUGUGAUGAGGACAAUAGCUUAUUUGGAAGAGAGUGCGUAUAUAACAGUUAAGGCUUUGCUCAAUUAAAACAAAUAAUGAUCACAGUUGAAGAUGAAGACCCUUGUGGAAGAACUUAAUUAAUUAUUUAUACCAUAAUAAUUUCAAACUCCAUCGCCACCAACCACUUGUCUCUCUCUCCUUUUCACAACUCUCAUUCUCUCACUAUAUAGCCCCUGGAUAAUGGAAAUGUGUUUAGUUUCAAUUCCUUUCUUUUUCUUCUACUUUCCCUUUGCCUUACUUACCACUGAAAACAAUGAAGGAGUCCAAGCAUGAGGCUUUCACACUCUCUUUCACCCUGCUUCUCAUGCUGCUGGGUUUGGCAUCCAGUGAUGUGAACCA
RNAcentral lists this long non-coding RNA (552 nucleotides) under Gossypium barbadense (sea-island cotton). Its description in RNAcentral is "long non-coding RNA (GBAR_LNC007014)". The record is from RNAcentral. Lineage: Eukaryota; Viridiplantae; Streptophyta; Magnoliopsida; Malvales; Malvaceae.